AGAGUUUGAUCCUGGCUCAGGAUGAACGCUGGCGGUAUGCUUAACACAUGCAAGUCGAACGGGACCUUUCGGGGUUCAGUGGCGGACGGGUGAGUAACGCGUGAGAAUCUGCCAAAAGGUUCGGGACAACCACUGGAAACGGUGGCUAAUACCGAAUGUGCCUUCGGGUGAAAGAUUUAUUGCCUUUUGAUGAGCUCGCGUCUGAUUAGCUAGUUGGUGGGGUAAAGGCUUACCAAGGCAGCGAUCAGUAACUGGUCUGAGAGGAUGACCAGUCACACUGGGACUGAGACACGGCCCAGACUCCUACGGGAGGCAGCAGCCAGGAAUCUUGGGCAAUGGGCGCAAGCCUGACCCAGCAACACCGUGUGGGCGAUGAAGGCCUUCGGGUCGUAAAGCCCUGUUGAUAGGGACGAAGGGCGAAGGGUUAAUAGCCCCUAGCCUGACGGUACCUUUCGAGGAAGCCCCGGCUAACUCUGUGCCAGCAGCCGCGGUAAUACAGAGGGGGCAAGCGUUGUCCGGACUUACUGGGCGUACAGCGCGCGCAGGCGGUUCCAUAUGUGCCUGGUGACAUCGUGCCGCUCAACGGCACGCGGCCCGGGUAGACAGUGGAGCUGGAGGCAGGGAGAGGGAUGUGGAAUACCCGGUGGAGCGGUGAAAUGCGUAGAGAUCGGGUGGAACACCAGCGGCGAAGGCGGCAUCCUGGCCCUGAACUGACGCUGAGGCGCGAUAGCGUGGGGAGCAAACGGGAUUAGAUACCCCCGUAGUCC
This 767-nucleotide ribosomal RNA is filed under the name uncultured soil bacterium. RNAcentral's name for it is "bacterial SSU rRNA". It matches the Rfam family "Bacterial small subunit ribosomal RNA", at positions 8 to 796 of the family's 1533-position model. The record is from RNAcentral.